AGUGCCACACCAUUUGCACCUGACAUCAUCAGGGAAAGGCAUAGAACACAUGCAUUCCUGCUCACGGACGGCAAGAGAAUAACAGCGUGAAAUCCCACGCUAUGGAUGGUAGCUUUGAAACACAUGGAGCAGAUCUGUAAAAGGUGACCGAGGUGAAAGGGUGGACCUCAUCGACGUAUCAGAGCAAGGUGGGAGCAGGGUGUGAAAAUGCGAUUAAAGAAAGAUUAAAUUUACCCAACAAUCGUGACAGUAAGGAGCACAGACAGAGCAGGCUGCAAAGCUUGUGUCACCUCCUGGUCACUUUCAAAUGAGACAUGCACCCUUGAGCGGCUUCAGCCCUUCAUCUCCACUGCUGACCUACAACUGAAGUGAUGACAGCACUGGAACUUCAGCUCGCGAUCUACCCUCUGUCUCUAAAGACCAACUACGACCACACAGAAGUUCUAAGUUCACCAUUGAGUUUACACCAUUGGACUUGGUUUCUCUGGUAGUGCCACACUAGAGCUGGUUCCCUGAUGAUUCAACCUUUGGCUUUCCUUCCUGUGAGAACCAGCUGAAAAUUCUGAACAAGGACAGAUUUGCAAAGACCUGCUGUCACAAAGCUCGCCCUGUCAGUUCAACCCAGAGUUUACAAGCAGCCCGUGCUUCCAUUAAAAAUAAUUCUUGUCCAGUGUUGCUGUCACCUCUUCUGAAAGAAGUGAAUGUGCUGGGUUAGACUUCCAUGGACAAGCCAGUGGCAUCUCAUUUCAAAUAGUAGCUUUCUCCUGUGUCUU
Long non-coding RNA from Pristis pectinata (smalltooth sawfish), 773 nucleotides. RefSeq lists it as uncharacterized. The transcript is spliced from 3 exons. The record is from RefSeq and is a predicted model, not a curated record. NCBI's taxonomy places the organism in Eukaryota, Metazoa, Chordata, Chondrichthyes, Rhinopristiformes, Pristidae.